Molecule: non-coding RNA, 567 nt
Organism: Dama dama (fallow deer)
Lineage: Eukaryota; Metazoa; Chordata; Mammalia; Artiodactyla; Cervidae
Source: the annotation of a RefSeq genome assembly
AUGCCGCUCUCCAGCCUGCCCUGGGUGUUCCUGGCCUUCACCUUCUCUGGAUCCAGUCUGGCCCAGAAAGUAACUCAAGUCCAGACAGCCGUAUCCAGUCGAGUGGCGCAGACAGUCACCCUGAAUUGUCGCUAUGAAUUAAGUUGGACCACGGACUACUACUACAUUUUUUGGUAUAAACAGCUUCCCAGUGGAGAGAUGAAUGUCUUUAUUCAUCAGUAUUCAGAACACCUGAAUGCAAGGAAUGGCCGCUACUCUGUAAACUUCCAGAAAGCAGAUAAAUCCAUCAGCCUCAUCAUUUCAGCCUUACAGCUCGAAGACUCUGCAAAGUACUUCUGUGCUCUCUGGGAGCUCACAGUGCUUGAAGUAAUGGGAAAAGCUGAACAAAAUCCCCAGAGCUUAAUAACAGAGAGCCCUACUGCUUCAGGACCUCAGUUGAAGUGCACACCUGCACAUCCCAGAAGAGAAAUGGAGCAGGUAGAUUCAGCAACUCUUCCUGAUGAGGAAGAAGAGGGAGAUGCUGCUCAUAGCACCAAUGUUAAUCUUAUGGAUGCAAAUACCACGUGA